Molecule: long non-coding RNA, 227 nt
Organism: Vidua chalybeata
Lineage: Eukaryota; Metazoa; Chordata; Aves; Passeriformes; Viduidae
Exons: 3
Source: RefSeq, a predicted model, not a curated record
CGGGUGGGACAAAAAAAGGCGACACUCUGUGUUAGUUAUAGCUGUGUUCAUUGUUUGACCAAGCUGAAAACUCCAGCUCAACAUAGUGAUGACAUUUAAUUUUACAAGUCUCUGAACACAUCUUCAAAAAUUUGCCUUCUGUUUUCAUGUUCUAAUCAGCUUUAUGGAAGCUCCUGUAAGCAGACAUGAUCGCUAGGUGGUGAUGUUCUACCAGAGAAAAGCUUAAA